CCGGGCCGUGCCCAGGUGUCCAUCGUGGACAGCGGCGUCCGCGGGACCAUCGCCGUGGGGCUGGUCCCGCACUGCCACAGCCUCGAGCACCCCCCGGGAUGGGGGCCCGGCUCCGUCGCCUACCACGCCGAUGAUGGAAAGCUCUACAGUGGCCGGGCCAAGGGGCGCCAGUUCGGCUCCAAGUGCAGCUCCGGGGACCGGAUCGGCUGUGGUGUCGAGAGGGGCUCGUUCGGAGCCCCCCCAGCCCAGGUUUUCUUCACCAAGAACGGCCAGAGGGUGGGGGGUCUGGGGGUGCCCCUGUCGCCCCCGGGGCUGUUCCCAGCCGUGGGGCUGCACUCGCUGGGCGAGGAGGUUCGGCUGCACCUGCCCCCCCCCGGGCCCCCCGAGGAUGAGGGGGGGGCCAUGCUGGUGGACAGCCUGGAGGAGGAGUGGGGGAGGCUCCACGACGUGCGGCUCUACGGCUCCGUGUUGGAGUACGUGGGGAAGGGGAAGAGCAUCGUGGAUGUGGGGCUGGCCCAGGCACGGCGGCCGCUCAGCCCCCGCAGCCACUACUUCGAGCUGGAGAUCCUGGACCCCGGCGAGAAGUGCUACAUCGCCCUGGGCGUGGCCAGGAAGGUGCGUGGGGGGCU
This 629-nucleotide long non-coding RNA is filed under the name Junco hyemalis (dark-eyed junco). Its description in RNAcentral is "lncRNA (ENSJHYG00000005038.1)". Lineage: Eukaryota; Metazoa; Chordata; Aves; Passeriformes; Passerellidae. The record is from RNAcentral.